Molecule: ribosomal RNA, 543 nt
Filed under: uncultured bacterium
Lineage: Bacteria
Description: bacterial SSU rRNA
Rfam family: Bacterial small subunit ribosomal RNA
Source: RNAcentral
UCCUACGGGAGGCAGCAGCUAAGAAUCUUCCGCAAUGGGCGAAAGCCUGACGGAGCGACGCCGCGUGAACGAAGAAGGCCGUGAGGUUGUAAAGUUCUUUUCGGGAGGGGGAAUGACCGUGGCAGGGAAUGGCCGCGGGAUGACGUGAAUCCCGGAACAAGCCCCGGCUAACUACGUGCCAGCAGCCGCGGUAACACGUAGGGGGCGAGCGUUGUUCGGAAUCAUUGGGCGUAAAGGGCGUGCAGGCGGCACUGCAAGUCCGGCGUGAAAGACCCCGGCCCAACCGGGGGGGUGCGCUGGAAACUGCGGUGCUUGAGUACAGGAGGGGAUGCCGGAAUUCCAGGUGUAGGGGUGAAAUCUGUAGAUAUCUGGAAGAACACCGAUGGCGAAGGCAGGCAUCUGGCCAUGUACUGACGCUGAGACGCGAAGGUGCGGGGAGCAAACAGGUUUAGAUACCCUGGUAGUCCGCACAGUAAACGAUGUGCACCAGGUGGCGGGGGUAGAACCCCCGGUACACGUAGUAACCGGUUAAGGCUUCCCGCC